GGCUGGUGGUAUGAGUGCAUUUACAACUAAUGGAUCAUAAUCAAUUACUGAUUUCUUUGUUUGUUCUUCAUUUCCACUGCUUCACUCAACCAGCCUUAA
Callithrix jacchus (white-tufted-ear marmoset) is the source of this 99-nucleotide Y RNA. It matches the Rfam family "Y RNA". Rfam says of the family: Y RNAs are components of the Ro ribonucleoprotein particle (Ro RNP), in association with Ro60 and La proteins. The Y RNAs and Ro60 and La proteins are well conserved, but the function of the Ro RNP is not known. The record is from Ensembl. NCBI's taxonomy places the organism in Eukaryota, Metazoa, Chordata, Mammalia, Primates, Cebidae.